UGGGGAAUUUUGGACAAUGGGGGCAACCCUGAUCCAGCCAUCCCGCGUGUGCGAUGAAGGCCUUCGGGUUGUAAAGCACUUUUGGCAGGGAAGAAACAGCCUGGGCUAAUAUCCCGGGCGACUGACGGUACCUGCAGAAUAAGCACCGGCUAACUACGUGCCAGCAGCCGCGGUAAUACGUAGGGUGCAAGCGUUAAUCGGAAUUACUGGGCGUAAAGCGUGCGCAGGCGGUUCGGAAAGAAAGGUGUGAAAUCCCAGGGCUUAACCUUGGAACUGCACUUUUAACUACCGGGCUAGAGUACGUCAGAGGGGGGUAGAAUUCCACGUGUAGCAGUGAAAUGCGUAGAGAGGUGGAGGAAUACCGAUGGCGAAGGCAGCCCCCUGGGAUGAUACUGUCGCUCAUGCACGAAAGCGUGGGGAGCAAACA
This 427-nucleotide ribosomal RNA is filed under the name uncultured bacterium. RNAcentral's name for it is "bacterial SSU rRNA". It matches the Rfam family "Bacterial small subunit ribosomal RNA", at positions 355 to 774 of the family's 1533-position model. The record is from RNAcentral.